UUUAAUAUGGCAGAUUAGGGCAAUGAAUUUAAACUUCAUAUAUAAAGAUUUUUAAAUGCUUUUAUUAAAA
Molecule: transfer RNA, 70 nt
Filed under: Pheidole capellinii
Lineage: Eukaryota; Metazoa; Arthropoda; Insecta; Hymenoptera; Formicidae
Description: tRNA-Leu
Source: RNAcentral